Molecule: transfer RNA, 69 nt
Filed under: Rattus norvegicus (Norway rat)
Lineage: Eukaryota; Metazoa; Chordata; Mammalia; Rodentia; Muridae
Rfam family: tRNA
About the family: Transfer RNA (tRNA) molecules are approximately 80 nucleotides in length.
Source: Rfam by way of RNAcentral
GGGGAUUUAGCUCAGUGAUAGAGUGCUUGCCUAGCAAGCGCAAGGCCCUGGGUUCGAUCCCCAGCUCCG